GGAGGAUGAGGAGGUUUCAUGCCGAGCCGGAGAAGUAGUCGGCCCGAGAGAAUCGCGGAGCUCUCAGCUGUCCGGCCACCUCGAAAACCGGCGCCCGAACCCACAUUCCGAUACAGCGUGCGCCUAUUCUUUGUGUUAGUGUAUGUGUGUCUUUGUGUGUAUGUGUUUAUAUAUAUACAUAUAUAUAUAUAUAGACACACGUGUGUCUUUUGUGUGUAUGUGUCUCGAAUGUACAUAUAAGUACGACUUAUAAAAGAUGGAAGGAAAGUGACUCGCAUGGUUAAAACUCUAAGGGACUCCAUAUUUGCGCUAUUCUCGUCAGGCGCCGUUCUAAAUGCCAGUAGCUUUAGUAACGUAGUUCGUUGGAGGAGCAGGAUAAAGGUGAAGAAAAAUUUUCAUACGACGUCGUCCUCGCUCGAAGGAAGAGUAUAAGAAGAAGUAGAAGAAGAAGAAGUACAAGAAGAAGUACAAGAAGAAGAAGUACAAGAAGAAGAAGAAGAAGAAGAAGAAGAAGAAGGAGAAGUGGAAGAAGAAGGAGUGUUUCGAGAAUAAACGUUUCUCUCAUCGACAUAUACACAGAGACAACACUGAGAUACAAAUACAGAUAGAGAGGGGACAGAGGACACAGGGACACCACGCGUAUGUAAGCGUGUUUAAAGUGGACGCAUGACAAAGGAAGCAAAUUUAAUAUGAACCAGCUAUGGACUGACUCGACGCCAAUGAAACGAAAAUAUGCGCGAUCGCGUAACGUUCGAUCGAAUAAACAAUGAAUUCAUGAAUGAGGAAGAGAGAGAGAGAGAGAGAGAGAGAGAGAGAGAGAGAGAGAGAGAGAGAGAGAAGAAUGAAUAAAAGGAACAAAAAUAUGUUUAUGCAACUCGCGUUCAACUAAGUAAUUACGAUCGUUUGUAUUCGAAAGAGACACACGCAUAUAGACACGAUAUACACAUAUAUACAUAUAUAUGUAUACGCACAUAGAAUGAAAUACUUCAUACGCAUACUAUAUAUAAAAACGUAAGAGAGCGUAAAUAGAUGUGUAUAUAUAUAUAUAUAUAUAUAUAUAUAUAUAUACACCCCGUUAAAUGUACUACUCGCACACGUUGUCGUUUUUUCCUUUUUUUUUAAUACAGGAAGAAAAAAAAUAUGUAAACGAGACGCUCCCUAACUCGUGAUCUAUCGAUCGAUCUAUCGAUCGAUCUAUCGAUCCUAAACGAUUCGUACGAGAAUAAGUUUUUUCUUUUUCUCUCUCUCUCUCUCUCUCUCUCUCUCUCUCUUUCUUUUUUACGUUCAGAGGACGAAUAAUUUUAUAAAUGAUAUAACUAUAAAAGUAUAAUAUAUAUGUAUUUUUUUUUUCUUUAAAGCAGCGAAAUUAAAUUAAUUCGAUGGGAAUAAUAUUAGUAUUAGUAUUAGUAGGAUCGUAUCUAUGUAUAAUAUAAUAUAUUGCCAAAGAAUCGUCUACCUUGAAGCGGCAAUUUAGCGAACGAAUGAACGAACGAACGAACAAACGAACGAACGAACGAACGAACGAACGAACGAACGAACGAUCGAUCGAUCGAUCGAUCGAUCGAUCGUUAUAAUCAUCGCGAUAAUGUAAUUACCGGUGUUACAUAACAGCAACUAUGCGAGCGUUAGGAUAGAUAGAUACAUGGACUAUUACUAUCUAUAGUACACUAACGAUGCGUUUGACGUGCGUUGAGUAUAAUUACUAAAAUGACAUGGCACGGUCGCGCUUUGCCCGGUCGAACAACAUUAUGACGAUAUUAAAUCGUGGCCCUCCUCGUUAUAAUCUUCAUUCAUUUUAUUAUUUUAUUUUUUUUUUUCUUUUCUUUCUUUUAGUUUGAUGAUUUUCAAAAGAAACGAUAUCGUUCAAAUAAACGACAAUUAACUCAUCGUAGUCCUCCUCGUAAUCUUCGUAAUCAUCGUAGUAAUACUCAUCGUUUCUUUGGUCAGAAUUACUCCGAUGCCGUGUUCUCAUUUAAUUAAGAGUAAAAAAGAUAGAGAGAGAUAGAUAGAUAGAUAGAUAGAUAGAUAGAGAGAGAGAGAGAGAGAGAGAGAGAGAGAGAGAGAGAGAGAGAGAGAGAGAGAGAGACGAUGG
Molecule: long non-coding RNA, 2092 nt
Organism: Vespa velutina
Lineage: Eukaryota; Metazoa; Arthropoda; Insecta; Hymenoptera; Vespidae
Exons: 3
Source: RefSeq, a predicted model, not a curated record